This 272-nucleotide long non-coding RNA is filed under the name Elaeis guineensis (African oil palm). Its description in RNAcentral is "long non-coding RNA (EGUI_LNC070787)". The record is from RNAcentral. Lineage: Eukaryota; Viridiplantae; Streptophyta; Magnoliopsida; Arecales; Arecaceae.
UGUGGUGUCUCUCUGAACCCCCUCGACCGUCCGAGCUUCUAGACUUCUCCGACAAUGAGCUUCUCCAUCCAUCUACCGGGCCGCUCCAGAGGCUCUCUAGGCCUCAUUGUCAGCCGACCUUCUACAGUGAUCAACUAUUCUCCAAACUCCUUUCGAACUUCGUCAAUAUCCGAGCUUCUUCGACAACGAGAUUUCUACAGUAAUCAGACUCCAUCCAAGUUUCUACGGCGGUCGACCACCUUCAGGAUUCCAACCAGACUCCUGUGAGAGCC